GGAUUAUGGGCUUGGUCUCAAUUUGCAUGGUGCUGGCAGUAGGAUCUAUUGUAAUUUACAAAAGAAAUUCCCUUUUGAAACCUUGAAGUUCAUUGGCAUCCCUGACCUAUUUUGCAAAAAAAAAAAAAAAAAAAAAAAUCACAGUCCUUACUGCUUUACUGCCUUUGUGCAACUAUAAUGUGGUUAUUUGUUCCUAGAUCAUUGACAGGCUCUUCAAUGUAAUGAAUAGUCGCAAUCCCCGUGCCAGAGGACACAAAGCUCCCCUGGGAAAGCUCAGUUGGUGGGAGAAAGCUGUAUUUUUGAAGAAAGCCAGGAAGUACCUGAUUACUUUGGUGAUGAAAGAUGACAAACCCCUUCAUCAGUCAAAGAUUUACAGCUGUCAAAGUGAUGCGGUAUGUAUGUCAACAUGAUGCUGUAAUGUGUUAACUGUCAGUUGUUUUCUUUGUUGAAGUUUUCUUGGUUUCAGUUUUUUUCAGGUUCUACAGCAGUCAAAAUGUAAUGUAUAACCGCUUGAUGCUCUCUUGCUCCAAUAUUUUUGUCUGCUGAUUUGUUUGUAUUUGAAAUUUUUUGUAAUAACUUUCCCGAUGAUAUAGUACAGGCAUCAAAAUGGUUUGUAUUGCAUGUUUUUUUGCAACUUCUGCAUAUUUUGUUCUGAAGUGUUCCCAAGUUUGCAUUCCUGUAAAAGCACCCAGUAAGAUCCUCACGGUGGACAUGAGACACCUGAGAUGAAGACAGACGUCACAGUAUCUGCAUCAACAGCAGAGGUUCAUUUUAAAGUGUCCCUGGAUAGAUUUCCUAUUUCAUAUAGUUUUCCAAGCACUGAAAGACAGAAAGGCCUGUAGUCACUUUAGCUUUAAGGGAGAGGAUUUUAUUAUCCAGCUUAUCUGUGCUGUAAUUUAAAUGUAAUAACUGUAGUGUUCAUCAUUACUUUGGUCAUAUUGUGGGAGGUUAUUUUUCUAAUCUGCACUAAGAUGUACUACAACAUGUGAAUCAGUCAUUAAACAACGUUAAUGACUAGAGAGCAGAUUUACUGUUUUCUCCAGUUUAACUUCAAAGACUCAGCAGAUAUUCAGGACUACUGACAACACAGAACCUUAACCUCACUGUUUUAAUCACAUUUAGGUUUUCUAAACGUUACCAUUAAUGUGAACCAGCGUCUCCAUGAACAGUUUUAUUAACUAAAUGCACCACAUUACAGUAACACAACACACUUCAGCUGUUUACAUGAAACUCAACACAAA
This is a long non-coding RNA of Amphiprion ocellaris (clown anemonefish), 1241 nucleotides long. The record is from Ensembl. Lineage: Eukaryota; Metazoa; Chordata; Actinopteri; Pomacentridae.